This 73-nucleotide transfer RNA is filed under the name Candidatus Buchananbacteria bacterium RIFCSPHIGHO2_01_FULL_46_12. RNAcentral describes it as "tRNA-Asn". It matches the Rfam family "tRNA". From Rfam's summary of the family: Transfer RNA (tRNA) molecules are approximately 80 nucleotides in length. Their secondary structure includes four short double-helical elements and three loops (D, anti-codon, and T loops). Lineage: Bacteria; Candidatus Buchananiibacteriota. The record is from RNAcentral. RNAcentral also lists the same sequence under 2 other names.
UCAGGGGUAGCUCAAUCGGCAGAGCAAUUGGCUGUUAACCAAUUGGUUGUGGGUUCGAGUCCCACCCCCUGAG